AAUACGACUCUCGGCAACGGAUAUCUCGGCUCUCGCAUCGAUGAAGAACGNAGCGAAAUGCGAUACUUGGUGUGAAUUGCAGAAUCCCGUGAACCAUCGAGUCUUUGAACGCAAGUUGCGCCCGAAGCCGUCAGGCCGAGGGCACGUCUGCCUGGGCGUCACGC
Molecule: ribosomal RNA, 164 nt
Filed under: Solanum poka
Lineage: Eukaryota; Viridiplantae; Streptophyta; Magnoliopsida; Solanales; Solanaceae
Description: 5.8S ribosomal RNA
Rfam family: 5.8S ribosomal RNA
About the family: 5.8S ribosomal RNA (5.8S rRNA) is a component of the large subunit of the eukaryotic ribosome.
Source: RNAcentral